Molecule: ribosomal RNA, 397 nt
Filed under: uncultured bacterium
Lineage: Bacteria
Description: partial 16S ribosomal RNA
Rfam family: Bacterial small subunit ribosomal RNA
Source: RNAcentral
AUACGUAGGUGACAAGCGUUAUCCGGAUUUACUGGGCGUAAAGGGCGUGUAGGCGGUCUUGCAAGUCAGAAGUGAAAUUCCUGAGCUCAACUCGGGCGCUGCUUCUGAAACUGCAGGACUUGAGUGCUGGAGGGGAUAGCGGAAUUCCCAGGGUAGCGGUGAAAUGCGUAGAGAUUGGGAGGAACACCAGUGGCGAAGGCGACUUACUGGGCCGUAACUGACGCUGAGGCGCGAAAGCGUGGGGAGCGAACAGGAUUAGAUACCCUGGUAGUCCACGCGGUAAACGAUGAAUGCUAGGUGUUGCGGGUAUCGACCCCUGCAGUGCCGGAGUAAACACAAUAAGCAUUCCGCCUGGGGAGUACGGCCGCAAGGUUGAAACUCAAAUGAAUUGGCGGGG